AUAUAUUUAGAAAAAAAUUUAAUAAAUUCAAAAACGCAAAAAAAAGGGAAAAAAAAAAAAAAAAAAAAAAAAAAAAAUUCAGAAUAAUUAUAGGAAAAAAUAUUUUUUCUAACGUUUCUUACAAAAAAAUGAAAUGUUUCGUUCCUUUUCUUUUUUUAUAAAAUUGUAUAUAUUUUAUAAUAUAAAUUUUUUUGUUACAAUUUUUUAUUAAUGAGGUUUUUUGAACAAAUUCUUUUCUUAUUAUUAAAUAUAUGAAAAUUUUUUACAACCUGUUUUAUUUUUGUUUAUUUAUUUUUUUUUUUUACCAUUUUAUAGGAUAAUAUUUUGUAAUAUAUAUAUAUAUAUAUAUA
Molecule: small RNA, 350 nt
Filed under: Plasmodium reichenowi
Lineage: Eukaryota; Apicomplexa; Aconoidasida; Haemosporida; Plasmodiidae
Source: RNAcentral